RNAcentral lists this ribosomal RNA (204 nucleotides) under Triticum aestivum (bread wheat). RNAcentral describes it as "partial small subunit ribosomal RNA". The record is from RNAcentral. Lineage: Eukaryota; Viridiplantae; Streptophyta; Magnoliopsida; Poales; Poaceae.
AUUAGCAAAGCUAUACCAAAAAUAGGUUCACGUAAGAAAGUGCCUAUUAGUUUGCGUAGGAAUGCCCGUUUUAGUUUACGAAAGAGUGCACGUAGAAUAACAAAAGGGGUUAUUCAUGUGAAAGCCAGUUUCAACAAUACCGAAAUCAUAACAUUAACAUUUCUAUAUUCGAAUUUGAGAUAUAUAUAUACCGGACCUGAGUAG